This 520-nucleotide ribosomal RNA is filed under the name uncultured Glomus. Its description in RNAcentral is "SSU rRNA". It matches the Rfam family "Eukaryotic small subunit ribosomal RNA", at positions 569 to 1091 of the family's 1831-position model. Lineage: Eukaryota; Fungi; Glomeromycota; Glomeromycetes; Glomerales; Glomeraceae. The record is from RNAcentral.
AGCAGCCGCGGUAAUUCCAGCUCCAAUAGCGUAUAUUAAAGUUGUUGCAGUUAAAAAGCUCGUAGUUGAAUUUCGGGAUCAAAUUGUCGGUCGUGCCUCGGUACGCACUGGUAUUAUUGGUUCCUGCCUUCUGAAGAACCGCGAUGUCAUUAAUUUGGUGUCGUGGGGAAUCAGGACUGUUACUUUGAAAAAAUUAGAGUGUUUAAAGCAGGCUUACGCUUGAAUACAUUAGCAUGGAAUAAUGAAAUAGGACGUUUGAUUCUAUUUUGUUGGUUUCUAGGAUUGACGUAAUGAUUAAUAGGGAUAGUUGGGGGCAUUAGUAUUCAAUUGUCAGAGGUGAAAUUCUUGGAUUUAUUGAAGACUAACUACUGCGAAAGCAUUUGCCAAGGAUGUUUUCAUUAAUCAAGAACGAAAGUUAGGGGAUCGAAGACGAUCAGAUACCGUCGUAGUCUUAACCAUAAACUAUGCCGACUAGGGAUCGGAUGAUGUUAAUUUUUUAAUGACUCAUUCGGCGCCUUAC